RNAcentral lists this transfer RNA (67 nucleotides) under Ceratina okinawana. Its description in RNAcentral is "tRNA-Thr". The record is from RNAcentral. Lineage: Eukaryota; Metazoa; Arthropoda; Insecta; Hymenoptera; Apidae.
AAUUAUAUAGUUUAACAAAAACAUUAAUUUUGUAAAUUAAAUUUAAAUAUUUAUUAUUUUAUAAUUA